This 449-nucleotide ribosomal RNA is filed under the name uncultured bacterium. RNAcentral's name for it is "partial 16S ribosomal RNA". It matches the Rfam family "Bacterial small subunit ribosomal RNA", at positions 354 to 796 of the family's 1533-position model. The record is from RNAcentral.
GUCGAGAAUCUUUCACAAUGGGGGCAACCCUGAUGGAGCGACGCCGCGUGGAGGAUAAGGUCUUCGGAUUGUAAACUCCUGUCAUGCGUGAACAAGGUUGCUUGGUUAAUACCUGGGCAAAUUGAUGGUAACGCAAGAGGAAGAGACGGCUAACUCUGUGCCAGCAGCCGCGGUAAUACAGAGGUCUCAAGCGUUGUUCGGAAUCACUGGGCGUAAAGGGUGCGUAGGUGGCGUGGUAAGUCAGAUGUAAAAGCCCAGGGCUCAACCUCGGAACUGCAUCCGAUACUGCCAUGCUAGAGUACUGGAGAGGUGACUAGAAUUCUCGGUGUAGCAGUGAAAUGCGUAGAUAUCGAGAGGAAUACCAAAGGCGUAGGCAGGUCACUGGACAGUUACUGACACUGAGGCACGAAGGCCAGGGGAGCGAACGGGAUUAGAAACCCCUGUAGUCC